RNAcentral lists this ribosomal RNA (230 nucleotides) under uncultured bacterium. RNAcentral's name for it is "partial 16S ribosomal RNA". It matches the Rfam family "Archaeal small subunit ribosomal RNA", at positions 518 to 747 of the family's 1478-position model. The record is from RNAcentral.
UUCGUAGCUGGAUUGUUAAGUCUCUUGGGAAAUCCGCCGGCUCAACCGGCGGGCGUCUAAGAGAUACUGGCAAUCUUGGGACCGGGAGAGGUAAGAGGUACUCCGGGGGUAGGAGUGAAAUCCUGUAAUCCCUGGGGGACCACCGGUGGCGAAGGCGGUCUACCAGAACACGUCCGACGGUGAGGGAUGAAAGCUGGGGGAGCAAACCGGAUUAGAUACCCGAGUAGUCC